Long non-coding RNA from Teleopsis dalmanni, 1732 nucleotides. RefSeq lists it as uncharacterized. The transcript is spliced from 4 exons. The record is from RefSeq and is a predicted model, not a curated record. NCBI's taxonomy places the organism in Eukaryota, Metazoa, Arthropoda, Insecta, Diptera, Diopsidae.
UAUACUUUUUUGGACUUAACAAAAUUUUAGUAUAAACGAUAUAUUUUUGCAAAUGUUCUAAUAGCACAAGAUAAAAAAAUAGACCACGCACAACAGAUCAAUAGACGUAUUCGAAACUUCAGAGAAAAACUUGGGUGAGCUGCGAAGUUUAAAGGACAUAAAUUCUCAUCAUGGCGUCACAAGAUAUAAAUCUAAUGACUGAUGCACAAGUUCUAGAAAUGUUCAAUAAAUGCAAUUUUGGGACUUUAUUAGCUCCCAUCAUUAAUACAGUUGAUGAAUCAACGGUGAUAAUAAUAACAAUGCCUUCACCAGAACCCGAACUCAUAGAAGUAUAUGUUUAUAUGCGCAGCGAAUUGGACAAUAUUUUACUAGGUCACAUCUCUUGUCGCCAAUUAGACUUAGACAUCUUUAACAGAUUACGACCACAAAUAUGUCCAGACGCAAUGGUGGUUAAUACUGAUGUAUGGAUAAACAGUGAAGCUGUUACACAAUGGCUUGCAACAAUGUAAACACAGAGAUUAACUUCACAACUUAUAAAACCAACACAAAAAAGCCAGAUAGCAACAAAAGUAUUGAUAAAGUUGCUUACUAUUUUAAUCGGUAAUGUAAUCGAUAUUAGUCACUAUUUCGUUAAAUAAGCAUUUCCACUGAUUCUAAUUACAAGCGAAUACCAUUUGGACAAGCUGAUCUACACAAUCUUUUUACGCAUCUCCUUACUGAAGCGCAUUAUUCGAACGGAAUAUUCUUCGACUUCUGUUGCACAUAAAGAUCUUGCGUAAAAUUUAUGCUUGUAGUUUCUCCAGAACCAUGAAGACUUUGCCGUGACGUCAAUUGUCACUUCAUGUCAACUUCAUGAAGUGCAAAACGAUAAUUUUACAGUUGUAAUUAAAAACGGCGAAGAAAAAACUAAAUAAUGUUAAAAAAAUUUGAAUUGAAACAAGAGAUUAUUUUUUGACUUGAUUGUACUAUGGAAUUCCACAAUAAAGGAUUACCAUGUGGUAAUUAGAUUUCAACCUAAAAGGAGCACUAUUUCAAUCAAUACAAUUGUUUCUGCAAUCAGGAAUAAAAUGUGUAAAGAAUGUCAUUGAUUUCGAAUAGGAACCCAACCCAAUAUAUCGGGUCUAUUGUUUAUUAAGCCAACGUCCUUGCUGUCGAGAAAAUAGGUCGGUUAAUUUCAGUAGAAAAUCUAAAAAAUUAAUGUAUUAUUGCCACAAUACAAACACUGGAAAACUUAACUGAGGUCAAUGAGUAGUUAGUGCAUAAUAUUACUGAUUUGGGCUUCAGAGUACCAAAAUAUACAAAAAAAUGAAAUUGCAAAUACAUACUCAACAGAGAAAUAUAUACUAAAAAUUUAAACGAGCACGACCUAACAACAAUGAAAAUCCUAUUGUGCAGAGCUGAGAUCGGAAAUAAGCAUAACUCGUGAUCGUCGUAACAGGUUGUUGACUACAAGGCGUCCAUUCCUUAAAAAUCACUCAAGAACUGUUAUGUAUCGGAAAGUUCUUUGAAAGUUUUAAGAGAGCUACUAAACCAUACCCCAAAUGGAAUCAGUUUUAAUAGAUCUUUUAACUUAUUAAAUAAAUGGAUUAAAUUAACGUGAACGCUUUAAAUAACUUAAUACAGUAAAAUUUCGCAGAGAUAACAGAAUAACAGAAUAAUAUAGACGUCCAAAGUAAGCUUAAAAUUGAUUUCCUGUUUUUUAUAUUAAAUAUUAUUGAACAUCCUAAAUUAU